This 379-nucleotide ribosomal RNA is filed under the name uncultured eukaryote. RNAcentral's name for it is "partial 18S ribosomal RNA". It matches the Rfam family "Eukaryotic small subunit ribosomal RNA", at positions 592 to 975 of the family's 1831-position model. The record is from RNAcentral.
CAAUAGCGUAUAUUAAAGUUGUUGCGGUUAAAAAGCUCGUAGUUGGAUUUCUGCUGAGAACGACCGGUCCGCCCUUUGGGUGUGUAUCUGGCUCUUUCUUGGCAUCUUCUUGGUGAACGUUGCUGCACUUGACUGUGUGGAGCGCUACCCAGGACUUUUACUUUGAGGAAAUUAGAGUGUUUCAAGCAGGCAUACGCCUUGAAUACAUUAGCAUGGAAUAAUAAGAUAGGACCUCGGUUCUAUUUUGUUGGUUUCUAGAGCUGAGGUAAUGAUUAAUAGGGAUAGUUGGGGGCAUUCGUAUUUAACUGUCAGAGGUGAAAUUCUUGGAUUUGUUAAAGACGAACUACUGCGAAAGCAUUUGCCAAGGAUGUUUUCGUUG